Long non-coding RNA from Argiope bruennichi, 109 nucleotides. RefSeq lists it as uncharacterized. The transcript is spliced from 6 exons. The record is from RefSeq and is a predicted model, not a curated record. NCBI's taxonomy places the organism in Eukaryota, Metazoa, Arthropoda, Arachnida, Araneae, Araneidae.
GAUGCAGUCGAUGCACUUGAUGCAGUUUUUUCAGAUUCCCAUGCAGAAUACAAUAAGAAUCUAAACAAUAUCAAAGAUAUUGCCAAGUCUGGAGAUUCUAGCGUAGCAA